RNAcentral lists this ribosomal RNA (253 nucleotides) under uncultured bacterium. RNAcentral describes it as "partial 16S ribosomal RNA". It matches the Rfam family "Bacterial small subunit ribosomal RNA", at positions 524 to 776 of the family's 1533-position model. The record is from RNAcentral.
UACAGAGGUCUCAAGCGUUGUUCGGAUUCAUUGGGCGUAGAGGGUGCGUAGGCGGCGCGGUAAGUCGGGUGUGAAAUCUCGGAGCUUAACUCCGAAACUGCAUUCGAUACUGCCGUGCUUGAGGACUUGAGAGGAGACUGGAAUUUACGGUGUAGCGGUGAAAUGCGUAGAUAUCGUAAGGAAGACCAGUGGCGAAGGCGGGUCUCUGGACAGUUCCUGACACUGAGGCACGAAGGCCAGGGGAGCAAACGGG